RNAcentral lists this ribosomal RNA (430 nucleotides) under uncultured bacterium. RNAcentral's name for it is "bacterial SSU rRNA". It matches the Rfam family "Bacterial small subunit ribosomal RNA", at positions 352 to 774 of the family's 1533-position model. The record is from RNAcentral.
CAGUGGGGAAUAUUGGACAAUGGGGGCAACCCUGAUCCGGCCAUGCCGCGUGUGUGAAGAAGGCCUUCGGGUUGUAAAGCACUUUAAGUGGGGAGAAAGGUUCGCCGGCUAAUACCCGGCGGAAGUGAUGUUACCCACAGAAUAAGCACCGGCUAACUCUGUGCCAGCAGCCGCGGUAAUACAGAGGGUGCAAGCGUUAAUCGGAAUUACUGGGCGUAAAGCGCGCGUAGGCGGCUGUCUAAGUCGGGUGUGAAAGCCCCGGGCUCAACCUAGGAACUGCAUCCGAAACUGUCUUUCUAGAGUAGUGGAGAGGAAAGCGGAAUUCCGGGUGUAGAGGUGAAAUUCGUAGAUAUCCGGAGGAACACCAGUGGCGAAAGCAGGUUACUGGCCCAAUACUGACACUGAGCUGCGAAAGCUAGGGGAGCAAACA